UUGGAUACUCGGCACUAUAGGGGUCGUGGGAGGAACAACCUCCACUCCUUCGCCGAGUCCUGAAAGAACCAAGGUUGAGACUAUGUAUGCAUGACUACCAGAAUAUAUCGAGUACUCACCACUGGUGAUAACAUCAGACAACAAGGCACCAGCAGCCACCACCGGUGUCUUCACGGCAUCUACCAGCUCAGAAACGUAACCUUAUCAACUGAUGACUUAGUAAC
This 224-nucleotide long non-coding RNA is filed under the name Setaria italica (foxtail millet). RNAcentral describes it as "long non-coding RNA (SITA_LNC000338)". The record is from RNAcentral. Lineage: Eukaryota; Viridiplantae; Streptophyta; Magnoliopsida; Poales; Poaceae.